UACAAUGAAAGUGGCCAAAUUGAUUUUCAAUUUGGCCAAAACUCAAAUGAAUUGGUCAAAUCCCCAAUUCCCAUAACCUAACUAAAACCCAAACCAGCCAGUUCCAAGCCCAAGAUUGGCCCAAUUCCUUUACCUAUUCAUCAGGCCUAACAUCAGCAACCCAUGCCAUACCCAAGACCAGCCCAUCAAAACCCAUACCCCUAAAUCCAUUAGCAGCUUACUCUCUCUUUUAAUAGCCUCAAAGCUAUCAGCCCCCAAAUUGGCCCAACAUCAUAGCACAACCUGGCCCAAGACUUAUCUACUCCUAUUUCUUCUUCAAUAACACGGCAAUAACAUCCAAAACCAACAAAACGUGACUCGCGUAAAUAGUAGUAAACAAUGUCAUCUCUAACCUAGAACCUCGACAAACCCGAUUCAGUGAAUCCACCAUCAACCCAACCCGAAAUCGAUCAUAAACUGUGCUUUUUCCCUCUUUCACGCGUCUCACGCGACACAAGGACGAACCUCGACCCAUCUAGAAAAUAAGCCAGGUGUCGUCCCCCAAUGUCUAUAUCCCAUAAAUCUCGGAUUAAUUGGUAUGAAUUUGUACAUAUUUAGUAGAAUUUCAUUGGUCCUGAAGAAUAAUUUGUUUUCCCCAAUUUUUAUUGGUCCACCGAUUUCGGAUUUGUUGAAGAAAUCCAAAAAGAGCGACGUUAUUCUCUGAUGGUGAUCGAGAUUCCAUCAAAAGCUCGAGUCUCGUUUUGUGGCCCUGAAGCAGGUAACUCAUCGUUCCGUUUAGUUCUGUUUAAUUUCUGCCUGAUCUCACCAUUACGUAAAGUUUGCGAUAAUUUUCUGGGCUGGAAAUUACUUGCUAUAGAAAGCCUUAUAGGCCAUAGGACCUUGUAUGAAAUAAUUUGCAGUGGUUUCAUCUGUUUCGUUUGAUUGCCGUUCGUGAUUCAUGUUCGAAUGAGAUGAUUAGUGUAUGAUGAAAACUGUCUUAUGAAAUUUCUUGUUCUAAUCAACACUAUUAGGUAUUGUGUAAAACAGUUGUGUAUGUGCUCUAUAUUUCGGGAGACAAAUAUUUGCAUAUUAUGUUGUCGCCACAACUGAUGGUUUAUGUAUCAUGUGUACUUGAGAUUAUUCAUUUAUGGAAUGUUUGUUAUAGGAGUUUCAUGUUUAUACACCGUAUACUCUACAAGAUGUGCUUAUCCGAAUGUUUCAAUUUGAGUAAAAGUGCAGUGACCCUCUUCUGGUAAAAGGAUAGGUCCAUAAAAUUAGAAGCUGGACAAGAUGAUGGGUUCAAAUGAUUUUGUAUCUUCUUUGGGAUUUGUUCUUAGGAGCCUCAUUUGUUACACUUCUUUAUAAAAGUUAAAUAAAAGAAGUAUUUUCUAUUUGUAGUGUGUAUUCCCUUACUUUACCUAUUUCAAUAUAAGUUUAACACGUACACUUGUAGUUCUUAGUUGAAAAUUGAUUCUAAAACUAGUUUUCCCUAAGACAUUACUAACUCGUAUUAUCUUGUAUACCACCUGUAUGAAACUUUUAGUAUCCUAUUCACUUGUCUGUUAAAUACACCUCUUCUUACAUCAUUCUUACUGUUGUUGGGUAAGAAAGCGUUUUUAGUUGCAUUUCUCCUUCCCCCCUUUCCGAUUCAUUUCAGUACCUAAGGUUAAGAGUUUUGCAUCCGUUUAAACACAAAAUCAUGUUCACAUUUUAUUUAAAGUCAUCCUCUUUUCCGUGUUAUCGUUUGCUAGAAAAAUUCAAUAGGGUAAAAGUUGUUUGUGGGCUAUAUGUGUGGUGACAUGCCUAAUUAAUAUGAUUACUCAAUGGGAACGCGUUGUUAUUUCAUCUUUUAAAAGUAGAUAUAGUAAUGUGGGAGAAGUUCUGUUUUAGUUGUUUCCUGAUUCCUUCCAACACUUUGUUGCUACCUUGAGUUUUAGUAAUAGAAUAAAUAAUCAACCUCUGCACAUCGAUUUUUUUAAAAAAAUUGCUUCUGUUUUCAAUCACUAUGUAUGUGUGAAGUCGAUUCAUUUCUCUUGAAAUUUUAUAUUUUGGACGACCAAGAAUUCCUUUCCAUCUAUUGAUCUAUCAUACUAUUUAUUUGUGUGUCGUUUGGUACUAUGAACGCGUAUUAAUCUCCUUUAUCUCUUUCCUUGCAUGUGAAUCUGCUUGGAGUCCGGAUGGACUCUUUCCCCUUGCAUCUAUUAAUGGGUCACCGAGGCCCACCAUGUCUAUCGAGUCAGGACCAAAUAAAAUCCCAAAGUCGAGCAUGUAGCAUAUGGCUAUGAGAAGUCGGAAGAAGGAAAAUGGGUUAAAACCUCAUCAUUGAAGCAGCUAGGAGAUUUAAAGUCUCAUUCAUUUUAUUUUUUUCAUUCUUAUUUAUUAUUCAUUUAUUUAUUUGUUUAUUUAUUUAUUUACUUAUUCAUUUAUUUGGGGCCUCGAAGUCAAAGUUGUACUUAAUAUAGGUGAAGUAAGACUCGAGCUAAAGGCUCGAAAACAUAGAAUUAGGACAGGUAAAAACGGGUCAAAAACCCAACUAGAUUAAGACAGGGUCGAUGGUUUGGGCUUAAAAGCCUAAAUCACUACCCCUCCCCUUUCCUCUUUCCCUUUUGCUUA
Long non-coding RNA from Capsicum annuum, 2592 nucleotides. RefSeq lists it as uncharacterized. Lineage: Eukaryota; Viridiplantae; Streptophyta; Magnoliopsida; Solanales; Solanaceae. The record is from RefSeq and is a predicted model, not a curated record. The transcript has 2 exons.